Mercenaria mercenaria is the source of this 460-nucleotide long non-coding RNA. RefSeq lists it as uncharacterized. The record is from RefSeq and is a predicted model, not a curated record. Lineage: Eukaryota; Metazoa; Mollusca; Bivalvia; Venerida; Veneridae. The transcript is spliced from 5 exons.
AUUCGGCAGAUUCUUCGAAUGUUGGUGCAUUCAUUGGAGUUGGAGUCGGAUCUGUAGCAGUUACUCUUGUUGCUGUUGGAUUAGUCAUUAUAAUAAGACGAUGCCUAAGACAUGGGCACUCAAGAGAACACACACCAGUUAAAGACCUUGAUAGCCUAGUGAUAGAGCGUCCGCUUCAAGUGCAAGAGGUCAUGGGUUCGAUCACUGGCAGCGACAUAUCAAAGACGUGAACAAUGUUACCAGUAGGUCCCUUGCUUGGCGCUCAGCAUUUAGAGGGAAACUGACCUUUACUCUCAUACCAUCGUGGCGAUGGAUUUCAUCAGGACACGCACAUGAGUUAACAACAGGUGCUCCAUAUGAUGAUGUUAGAACAAUUAAUGCCUCACCGAAUACACCGUCAGACACCGAUGUUGGCUACGUCAAUACAAGGUUUCAAGUAUUUGAAGAGUUAGAAGAGAGU